Molecule: ribosomal RNA, 439 nt
Filed under: uncultured bacterium
Lineage: Bacteria
Description: partial 16S ribosomal RNA
Rfam family: Bacterial small subunit ribosomal RNA
Source: RNAcentral
CUACGGGUUGCUGCCGUGAGGAAUAUUGCACAAUGGGGGGAACCCUGAUGCAGCAACGCCGCGUGGAGGAUGACGCAUUUCGGUGUGUAAACUCCUUUUAUAUGUCAAGAAAAUGACGGUAGCAUAUGAAUAAGCACCGGCUAACUCCGUGCCAGCAGCCGCGGUAAUACGGAGGGUGCAAGCGUUACUCGGAAUCACUGGGCGUAAAGGACGCGUAGGCGGGUUGGAAAGUCAGGUGUGAAAUCCUACAGCUUAACUGUAGAACUGCACUUGAAACUUCUAAUCUAGAGUAUGGGAGGGGGAGAUGGAAUUAGUGGUGUAGGGGUAAAAUCCGUAGAUAUCACUAGGAAUACCUAAAGCGAAGGCGAUCUCCUGGAGCAUUACUGACACUAAGGCGUGAAAGCGUGGGGAGCAAACAGGAUUAGAUACCCUAGUAGUC